This 1372-nucleotide ribosomal RNA is filed under the name uncultured bacterium. RNAcentral describes it as "bacterial SSU rRNA". It matches the Rfam family "Bacterial small subunit ribosomal RNA", at positions 28 to 1381 of the family's 1533-position model. The record is from RNAcentral.
GAUGAACGCUGGCGGCGUGCCUAAUACAUGCAAGUCGAGCGAACGGACGAGAAGCUUGCUUCUCUGAUGUUAGCGGCGGACGGGUGAGUAACACGUGGAUAACCUACCUAUAAGACUGGGAUAACUUCGGGAAACCGGAGCUAAUACCGGAUAAUAUUUUGAACCGCAUGGUUCAAAAGUGAAAGACGGUCUUGCUGUCACUUAUAGAUGGAUCCGCGCUGCAUUAGCUAGUUGGUAAGGUAACGGCUUACCAAGGCAACGAUGCAUAGCCGACCUGAGAGGGUGAUCGGCCACACUGGAACUGAGACACGGUCCAGACUCCUACGGGAGGCAGCAGUAGGGAAUCUUCCGCAAUGGGCGAAAGCCUGACGGAGCAACGCCGCGUGAGUGAUGAAGGUCUUCGGAUCGUAAAACUCUGUUAUUAGGGAAGAACAUAUGUGUAAGUAACUGUGCACAUCUUGACGGUACCUAAUCAGAAAGCCACGGCUAACUACGUGCCAGCAGCCGCGGUAAUACGUAAGUGGCAAGCGUUAUCCGGAAUUAUUGGGCGUAAAGCGCGCGUAGGCGGUUUUUUAAGUCUGAUGUGAAAGCCCACGGCUCAACCGUGGAGGGUCAUUGGAAACUGGAAAACUUGAGUGCAGAAGAGGAAAGUGGAAUUCCAUGUGUAGCGGUGAAAUGCGCAGAGAUAUGGAGGAACACCAGUGGCGAAGGCGACUUUCUGGUCUGUAACUGACGCUGAUGUGCGAAAGCGUGGGGAUCAAACAGGAUUAGAUACCCUGGUAGUCCACGCCGUAAACGAUGAGUGCUAAGUGUUAGGGGGUUUCCGCCCCUUAGUGCUGCAGCUAACGCAUUAAGCACUCCGCCUGGGGAGUACGACCGCAAGGUUGAAACUCAAAGGAAUUGACGGGGACCCGCACAAGCGGUGGAGCAUGUGGUUUAAUUCGAAGCAACGCGAAGAACCUUACCAAAUCUUGACAUCCUUUGACAACUCUAGAGAUAGAGCUUUCCCCUUCGGGGGACAAAGUGACAGGUGGUGCAUGGUUGUCGUCAGCUCGUGUCGUGAGAUGUUGGGUUAAGUCCCGCAACGAGCGCAACCCUUAAGCUUAGUUGCCAUCAUUAAGUUGGGCACUCUAAGUUGACUGCCGGUGACAAACCGGAGGAAGGUGGGGAUGACGUCAAAUCAUCAUGCCCCUUAUGAUUUGGGCUACACACGUGCUACAAUGGACAAUACAAAGGGCAGCGAAACCGCGAGGUCAAGCAAAUCCCAUAAAGUUGUUCUCAGUUCGGAUUGUAGUCUGCAGCUCGACUACAUGAAGCUGGAAUCGCUAGUAAUCGUAGAUCAGCAUGCUACGGUGAAUACGUUCCCGGGUCU